CCUACGGGGGGCAGCAGUGAGGAAUAUUGGUCAAUGGACGGAAGGCUGAACCAGCCAUGCCGCGUGCAGGAAGACGGCGCUAUGAGUUGUAAACUGCUUUUGUACAAGGGUAAACCUGAAUACGUGUAUUCAGCUGAAAGUACUGUACGAAUAAGGAUCGGCUAACUCCGUGCCAGCAGCCGCGGUAAUACGGAGGAUCCAAGCGUUAUCCGGAUUUAUUGGGUUUAAAGGGUGCGUAGGCGGAUUGAUAAGUUAGAGGUGAAAAGUCCGGGCUUAACUCGGGAACUGCCUUUAAUACUGUCUAUCUAGAGAGUUCGUGCGGUAUGCGGAAUGCAUGGUGUAGCGGUGAAAUGCUUAGAGAUCAUGCAGAACACCGAUUGCGAAGGCAGCUUACCAAUCUAUAUCUGACGUUGAGGCACGAAAGCGUGGGGAGCAAACAGGAUUAGAUACCCGAGUAGUC
This 460-nucleotide ribosomal RNA is filed under the name uncultured bacterium. Its description in RNAcentral is "partial 16S ribosomal RNA". It matches the Rfam family "Bacterial small subunit ribosomal RNA", at positions 338 to 795 of the family's 1533-position model. The record is from RNAcentral.